UACGUAGGCAGCGAGCGUUGUUCGGAGUUACUGGGCGUAAAGGGUGUGUAGGCGGUUGUUUAAGUUUGGGGUGAAAUCUCCCGGCUCAACUGGGAGGGUGCGCCGAAUACUGAAUGACUUGGAGUGCGGGAGAGGUGAGUGGAAUUCCUGGUGUAGCGGUGAAAUGCGUAGAUAUCAGGAGGAACACCGGUGGUGUAGACGGCUCACUGGACCGUAACUGACGCUGAGACACGAAAGCGUGGGUAGCAAACAGG
Molecule: ribosomal RNA, 254 nt
Filed under: uncultured bacterium
Lineage: Bacteria
Description: partial 16S ribosomal RNA
Rfam family: Bacterial small subunit ribosomal RNA
Source: RNAcentral